This is a long non-coding RNA of Patella vulgata (common limpet), 439 nucleotides long. RefSeq lists it as uncharacterized. Lineage: Eukaryota; Metazoa; Mollusca; Gastropoda; Patellidae. The transcript is spliced from 4 exons. The record is from RefSeq and is a predicted model, not a curated record.
UUACAUACAUAAUACAUAAAAUGUAUAAGUGUGACUUACUCGUGUGGUACGUGUACUCGUUGUAAGGAGUUAAUUCGUCUUAGUCCUGGAGUAAAUUAGAUGUUCCAGAUUAUCCUCCAUGGCAGAGGUUGAGCGAGAGAGAGAGAGAGAGGCCAGAACACCACCAUAAGCUGUUGAGUUUAGAGUUAGUCAGUUAGAUUACAGACAACAAACCACAAAAAAGGGACAUGCGAAAGGGGGAAAGGAAGAGAAUGGCUAUAUAUAGAGGAAAUACAAAUCGUGGGUAUCGAGAAGAAAGUGUUGCUAGGAGCUGUCAACAGUUACUAUGGUGCUGGCUGAAACUAUACCAAAUUCCCAUCAAUUUUUGUCUCUUAGAACUAGUUAGAUUCAGCUUUGUAUCGCUGUAUAGUGUGAAGAAUUCAAUAUGGAGAAAUAACUA